UACGAAGGGGGCUAGCGUUGCUCGGAAUUACUGGGCGUAAAGGGCGCGUAGGCGGCACUGUUAGUCAGGCGUGAAAGUCCUGGGCUCAACCUGGGAACUGCGCUUGAUACGGCAGAGCUAGAGGAUGGAAGAGGGUCGCGGAAUUCCCAGUGUAGAGGUGAAAUUCGUAGAUAUCGGGAGGAACACCGGUGGCGAAGGCGGUUCUCUGGGCCUGUACUGACGCUGAGGAGCGAAAGCGUGGGGAGCGAACAGG
RNAcentral lists this ribosomal RNA (253 nucleotides) under uncultured bacterium. RNAcentral's name for it is "partial 16S ribosomal RNA". It matches the Rfam family "Bacterial small subunit ribosomal RNA", at positions 524 to 776 of the family's 1533-position model. The record is from RNAcentral.